GCAUUGGUGGUGUAGCGGUAACAUUGGGUCUUCCCACUUGUCAUUCGACUUGAGUGGCCUAGCUCCGGGUUCGACUCCCGGCCAAUGCA
This is a non-coding RNA of Lactarius deliciosus, 89 nucleotides long. The record is from the annotation of a GenBank genome assembly. Lineage: Eukaryota; Fungi; Basidiomycota; Agaricomycetes; Russulales; Russulaceae.